GCCAGGCAUGGUAGUAAAUGCCUGGUAAUCUCAGCUACUGGGAGGAUGAGUGUUGGAGUGCUAGAGUUCAGGAGUUCUGAUCUGCAGUGGGCUAAGCCAAUUGGGUAUCUGAACUAAAUCUGACAUCAAUAUUGUUAGUUCCUAGGAGCAGGGGGGCACCAGAAAAAGGGGUGAACAGGCUCAGGUUAGAAGUAGAGCAAGUUAGAGCUCUUGUGCCAAUCAAUAAUGGGAAUGGGACCAUCAGUAGCCCUGCAUUUCCAACCUGGUUGAGAUGGGAAGAGCCAGUCU
This 288-nucleotide signal recognition particle RNA is filed under the name Phascolarctos cinereus (koala). RNAcentral's name for it is "Metazoan signal recognition particle RNA (ENSPCIG00000020785.2)". It matches the Rfam family "Metazoan signal recognition particle RNA". From Rfam's summary of the family: The signal recognition particle (SRP) is a universally conserved ribonucleoprotein. It is involved in the co-translational targeting of proteins to membranes. Lineage: Eukaryota; Metazoa; Chordata; Mammalia; Diprotodontia; Phascolarctidae. The record is from RNAcentral.